UGAUAUUUAUUGAAGGGCCGCAGUAUUUUGACUGUGCAAAGGUAGCAUAAUCAUUAGUCUUUUAAUUGAGGGCUUGUAUGAAUGAUUGAACGAGAUAUAGUCUGUCUCAAAUAAAAUUUAAGUAGAAUUUUAUUUUUUAGUUAAAAAGCUAAAAUAUAUUUAAAAGACGAGAAGACCCUAUAGAUCUUUAUAAUUUAUUUGUAAAUUUUUUUAGGUUAUUUUUUAAAUUUAUAAUUAUAAUUAUUUUGUUGGGGUGACAGUAAAAUUUAAAAAACUUUUACUAUUAUAUAACAUUAAUUUAUGAUUGUUUGAUCCAGUUUUAUUGAUUAAAAAUUUAAGUUACCUUAGGGAUAACAGCGUAAUUAUUUUGGAGAGUUCAUAUCGAUAAAAUAGUUUGCGACCUCGAUGUUGGAUUAAGAUUAAUUUUGGGGGUAGAUUUUCAAAAUAUUAAGUCUGUUCGACUUUUAAUUUCUUACAUGAUC
This 482-nucleotide ribosomal RNA is filed under the name Hercostomus meieri. RNAcentral describes it as "partial 16S ribosomal RNA". It matches the Rfam family "Bacterial large subunit ribosomal RNA", at positions 1914 to 2605 of the family's 2925-position model. Lineage: Eukaryota; Metazoa; Arthropoda; Insecta; Diptera; Dolichopodidae. The record is from RNAcentral.